GGGGCCGUAGCUCAACUGGGAGAGCGCCUGGUUUGCAACCGGGAGGUUGGGGGUUCGAGCCCGCUCGGCUCCA
RNAcentral lists this transfer RNA (73 nucleotides) under Phycisphaerae bacterium. RNAcentral describes it as "tRNA-Ala". It matches the Rfam family "tRNA". Rfam says of the family: Transfer RNA (tRNA) molecules are approximately 80 nucleotides in length. Their secondary structure includes four short double-helical elements and three loops (D, anti-codon, and T loops). Lineage: Bacteria; Pseudomonadati; Planctomycetota; Phycisphaerae. The record is from RNAcentral.